UUGCCAGCCCGCUCAGAAACUCAAAGGAAUUGACGGGGGCCCGCACGAAGCGGUGGAGUAUGUGGUUUAAUUCGAUGCAACGCGAAGAACCUUACCUGGUCUUGACAUCCCGGAGACCCUUAGGAAACUAGGGGGUGCUUCCAUCUGGAAGAAUCUGGAGACAGGUGCUGCAUGGCUGUCGUCAGCUCGUGUCGUGAGAUGUUGGGUUAAGUCCCGCAACGAGCGCAACCCUUGCCUUUAGUUGCCAGCAGUUCGGCUGGGCACUCUAAAGGGACUGCCGGUGUUAAACCGGAGGAAGGUGGGGAUGACGUCAAGUCCUCAUGGCCUUUAUGACCAGGGCUACACACGUACUACAAUGGCCGAUACAAAGGGCAGCGACACUGCGAGGUGAAGCCAAUCCCGUAAAAUCGGUCUCAGUCCGGAUUGGAGUCUGCAACUCGACUCCAUGAAGUUGGAAUCGCUAGUAAUCGUGGAUCAGCAUGCCACGGUGAAUACGUUCCCGGGCCUU
Molecule: ribosomal RNA, 508 nt
Filed under: uncultured Desulfobulbus sp.
Lineage: Bacteria; Pseudomonadati; Thermodesulfobacteriota; Desulfobulbia; Desulfobulbales; Desulfobulbaceae
Description: bacterial SSU rRNA
Rfam family: Bacterial small subunit ribosomal RNA
Source: RNAcentral